RNAcentral lists this long non-coding RNA (1382 nucleotides) under Mytilus galloprovincialis (Mediterranean mussel). The record is from RNAcentral. Lineage: Eukaryota; Metazoa; Mollusca; Bivalvia; Mytilida; Mytilidae.
CUUUAUGCUGAGCUCCACAGGCAAGGAUUAAAGGUGAGCAUCUGUGCAUUCCUGUAUAAGAAAGUUUCUAGUUGCAGUACUUAGUCAACUGUGAAGCUGUGGUCACAUAUUCUUAAAGCUGAUGACACAUAAUGGUGUUAAAAAUGGCAAAUUGUAGUUUUCAUUCUAAAAUCAUAAUCAGUUAUAGCUACAACAUACAGAUGUAGUUAUGCAUGCAAUCUUCGUGCUUAACCACAGGCUGACCAUUUGUUGGGCAUGUGAAAAUCAUCUGUACAGACUAAUUGAUCAAGCUGUAAUUCUUAUAAAAAAGAAGAUGUGGUAUAAUUGCCAAUGAAACACCUAUCCACUAGAGACCAAAAUGAAAACAGAAAUUAACAACUAUAGGUCACCGUACAACCUUCAAAGUUUCAAAAGUUUAUCAUAAAGACUGUACAUGAUAUCCUGUAUAUAUAUAUAUAUAUAUAUAUAUAUAUAAGUCUGAAAAUUACACCAAACAGUGUUAGAGUUAGAUAUUAUAUAUAUAUAUAUAUAUACAUAAGUACGUCUGAGUCAGUGACAACCCUACAACAGAUGUAUAUAUAUAAUGACUGAAUAAAUAGUCAACGAUCAAUCUUACAAGGCGAUGGAUCAUGUAAUAUGAUUCUGUACACUACAAAAUAUGAUAUAUAACAAGUCAAAAAGGGUACAACAUCACCAAUAAUAAUUGAAGAAGGAUAUCUGUUAUCCGAUAUAUCUAAUAUUUGUUAAUUUUAUAGUUAUAUAUAUAUAUAUAUAUAUGGAAGCAGAUUCUUGUUAAAUUUAUUUUAUGUUAGUAAUAUUCUGUUUGGUUUUUAACGUAUUCUGCUAAAUUUUCAUCAGAUAUGCUCUUAAUGUUUUUGUAGGGAGAUGUUAUAUUUUGAUGUUUGAAAUGCCUGCAAGUACUGUGAUACAAUUUUCUUUUGCAAUUGUUUUCCAGAAAUUCAACAUGCACAUCCAGGUCCAUGCAGUCAUCUACAUUAUGGCUUUGUAGUGUGUGAAGCUUAUCACUCAUGCAGUAAACACAAUUUACUUAUUACACUGGUUGAACUGACAGAAAUGAAACUAAUUUAAGGUAUAUGAAAUAUUUCAAUAGUUGACUGUAAGUAUAGUCAUUUUGACAUACACAAUAUACAAUGCAACUAUCCAUCAUUUCCAUGUACUACACAGUUAUUUUAAUUUAAACUUGACAGCUUUGUCAUCCACCUUUGAAAACUUUUUUUUAAAACUCAAAUGAAAUGAACAGCUUUAUCUAAUGAAAUUAGAAACAAAUAUGCAACAUGAACAAACCAAACAAACAUGAGUGUUGAUAAUUCCAGAUACAAAAGAAGUCCUAUGCUAUUUGUAUUUUAAAAGGUUUAGCAGAC